GUAAUCUUUACUAGUGACGUCGUCAAAAAAUAUUUACAUGAUAAAUAUUUAUUAUCAACAGAUUAUGCUUUAAAUUAUAAAAAAAUAUUAUCGUUUAUGAACUCUUUAUGCGUUUUUUUUAACGUUCUUCAUAAGAGUAAAGGCCUGUUACAAUGACUAAAAAAAGGAAAUUGGUGAUCAAAAAAGAAGAAAACAAAAAAGAGAAGCAGAGCAAAGGCGUAUAUUUAAUUUGGCGAUAAAAUUAAGUUAAACGUAGAGCUGUAUGAGUUGGCAAAGAAAAAAGAACGUGAAAGAUACCACAGAAGAAAAAAUGUUGGAAAAAUAAAAACCAUUAACAACGUCUCUGAAAGAGAAAAAAGAGCAAUAAGAAAGCGAUGGAAACAGGCUGUACUAAAAUAUUGAGAAAAAAUAAGGAAUAAAAAAAAUUAGUUACAUAUUUAGAAAAAAAUACACCGCUUUCGACACCAACGAAUUUUGAAGUUCCAGUGAUAUCCAGAAGAGCUUUAGCAGGCAGUAAGAAAGUUUUAAGAAAGCGCUCUAAAAUAUUUAGGGAAUUAAAUCGAAUAAAAACCGAAUUAAAAAAAGCUGAAAAGAAAGCAACACGCUAUAAACUAAAAUACUACAGACUAAAAAACCGUAAAAAUAAAAGGAAUUUAACAUCUCCGGAAACCAAAAUAGAACAUUUAACGAAAAGAAAAAACAUAACAAAAGAAGUCAAGCGAAAACUAGUGUUCGGUGAGGCCUUAAAGACGCAACUUGAGUACAACUUUAAAGCCCUGGGUUCCAGUACAUAAAAAAAAAUAAUUUUUCAAGUAUGCUUCUGGACCCUUAAUAAAAAAGUAUUGCUUAAUUCAAUCUUCAAAGUCAUUUACAGGGUCAUAUUACAGGUCACAAAGAAAGGCCUUUAAAAGACCAGAGAGUAAGGCUAAAGCAAAAAAAAUCAUUACUUAUAAAAGCCGUGCAGAUUUUUUUUGAAAGGGAUGAUAACAGUAGAAUGUGCCAUAUAUUAUAUACAUGAUUAUAUACAUUAUUAUAUUUAUUAUAUACAUUAUAUUACAUAUAUAUACAAAUUUAAUAAUAAAAAUAAUAUAUGGA
Molecule: long non-coding RNA, 1095 nt
Organism: Anthonomus grandis grandis
Lineage: Eukaryota; Metazoa; Arthropoda; Insecta; Coleoptera; Curculionidae
Exons: 2
Source: RefSeq, a predicted model, not a curated record